RNAcentral lists this long non-coding RNA (2230 nucleotides) under Salmo salar (Atlantic salmon). Its description in RNAcentral is "lncRNA (ENSSSAG00000108712.1)". Lineage: Eukaryota; Metazoa; Chordata; Actinopteri; Salmoniformes; Salmonidae. The record is from RNAcentral.
AUCACAUUGGUAUUUUAACAGUGUUAUUGUAAGAGUUUAAAUGUUUAAACAGAGGAUACAUCUAAAACAGGAUAAAACAAGUGCAGUAUGUUCUGAGAAUGUUACUGUUUGUCCAGUGUGUGUGUGUGUGUGUUUGUCCAGUGUGUGUGUGUGUGUGUUUGUCCAGUGUGUGUGUGUGUGUGUGUGUUUGUCCAGUGUGUGUGUGUGUGUGUGUUUGUCCAGUGUGUGUGUGUGUGUGUGUGUCCAGUGUGUGUGUGUGUGUGUGUGUGUGUCCAGUGUGUGUGUGUGUGUCCAGUGUGUGUGUGUGUGUGUCCAGUGUGUGUGUGUGUGUCCAGUGUGUGUGUGUGUGUGUCCAGUGUGUGUGUGUGUGUGUCCAGUGUGUGUGUGUGUCCAGUGUGUGUGUGUGAGUCCAGUGUGUGUGUGUGUGUGUUUGUCUAGUGUGUGUGUCCAGUGUGUGUGUGUCUGUGUGUAUCCAGUGUUUGUGUGUGUGUGUCCAGUGUGUGUGUUUGUCCACUUUGUUUGUCCAGUGUGUGUGUGUGUGUGUGUCCAGUGUGUGUGUGUGUGUGUGUGUGUGUGUAUUUUUGUUUGACCAGUGUGUGUGUGUGUGUGUGUGUGUGUGUGUGUGUGUGUGUCCAGUGUGUGUGUGUGUGUGUGUGUGUGUGUGUGUGUCCAGUGUGUGUGUGUGUAUGUGUGUGAGUCUGUGUGUGUUUUCGUUUGUCCAGUGUGCGUGUGUCCAGAAUGUGUUUGUGUGUGUUUGUUCAGUGUGUGUGUUGAGUGUGUGUGUCCAUUUUGUGUCCAGUUUGUGUGUGUUCAGUGUGUGUUCAGUGUGUGUUCAGUGUGUGUGUGUGUGUGUGUGUGUGUGUGUCCAGUGUGUGUGUGUGUGUGUCCAGUGUGUGUGUGUGUGUGCCCAGUUUGUGUGUCCAGUGUGUGUGUUUGUGUGUGUUUGUGUGUGUGUGUUUGUGUGUGUCCAGUGUGUGUGUGUUUGUGUGUGUGUGUGUGUUUUUGUGUGUGUGUGUGUGUGUGUGUGUGUGUUUGUCCAGUGUGUGUGUGUGUGUGUGUGUGUGUGUGUUGUGUGUGUGUGUGUGUGUGUGUUUGUCCAGUGUGUGUGUGUGUGUGUGUUUGUCCAGUGUGUGUGUGUGUUUGUCCAGUGUGUGUGUGUGUGUGUGUGUGUUUGUCCAGUGUUUGUGUGUGUGUGUCCAGUGUGUGUGUGUGUGUGUCCAGUGUGUGUGUGUGUGUGUCCAAUGUGUGUGUGUGUGUGUGUCCAGUGUGUGUGUGUGUGUGUCCAGUGUGUGUGAGUCCAGUGUGUGUGAGUCCAGUGUGUGUGUGUGUGUGAGUCCAGUGUGUGUGUGUUUGUCCAGUGUGUGUGUGUGUUUGUCCAGUGUGUGUGUGUGUGUGUGUGUGUGUGUGUGUGUGUGUGUUGUCCAGUGUGUUUGUGUGUGUGUUUGUCCAGUGUGUGUGUGUGUGUGUUUGUCCAGUGUGUGUGUGUGUGUGUUUGUCCAGUGUGUGUGUGUGUGUGUGUUUGUCCAGUGUGUGUGUGUGUGUGUGUUUGUCCAGUGUGUGUGUGUGUGUGUGUGUGUGUCCAGUGUGUGUGUGUGUGUGUGUGUGUCCAGUGUGUGUGUGUGUGUGUGUCCAGUGUGUGUGUGUGUGUCCAGUGUGUGUGUGUGUGUCCAGUGUGUGUGUGUGUGUCCAGUAUGUGUGUGUGUGUGUCCAGUGUGUGUGUGUCCAGUGUGUGUGUGUGUCCAGUGUGUGUGUGUGAGUCCAGUGUGUGUGUGUGUGUGUGUUUGUCUAGUGUGUGUGUCCAGUGUGUGUGUGUCUGUGUGUAUCCAGUGUUUGUGUGUGUGUGUGUCCAGUGUGUGUGUUUGUCCACUUUGUUUGUCCAGUGUGUGUGUGUGUGUGUGUCCAGUGUGUGUGUGUGUGUGUGUGUGUGUAUUUUUGUUUGACCAGUGUGUGUGUGUGUGUGUGUGUGUGUGUGUGUGUGUGUGUGUCCAGUGUGUGUGUGUGUGUGUGUGUGUGUGUCCAGUGUGUGUGUGUGUAUGUGUGUGAGUGUGUGUGUGUUUUCGUUUGUCCAGUGUGCGUGUGUCCAGAAUGUGUUUGUGUGUGUUUGUUCAGUGUGUGUGUUGAGUGUGUGUGUCCAUUUUGUGUCCAGUUUGUGUGUGUUCAGUGUGUGUUCAGUGUGUGUGUGUGUGUGUUCCAGUGUGUGUGUCCAGUGUGUGUGUGUGUGUGUGUAUUU